Molecule: ribosomal RNA, 253 nt
Filed under: uncultured bacterium
Lineage: Bacteria
Description: partial 16S ribosomal RNA
Rfam family: Bacterial small subunit ribosomal RNA
Source: RNAcentral
UACGUAGGGGGCAAGCGUUGUCCGGAAUUAUUGGGCGUAAAGAGCGUGUAGGCGGCUCGGUAAGUCCGCUGUGAAAGUCCAGGGCUCAACCCUGGGAUGCCGGUGGAUACUGUCGGGCUCGAGUCCGGAAGAGGAGUGUGGAAUUCCUGGUGUAGCGGUGAAAUGCGCAGAUAUCAGGAGGAACACCAAUGGCGAAGGCAGCACUCUGGGACGUGACUGACGCUGAGACGCGAAAGCGUGGGGAGCAAACAGG